AAUCAACGCUGGCGGCGCGCUUAACACAUGCAAGUCGAACGAGAAAGGGGAGCAAUCCCUGAGUAAAGUGGCGUACGGGUGAGUAACACGUGGGUAAUCUACCUUUUGGUGGGGGAUAACCUUGGGAAACCGGGGCUAAUACCGCAUAAUCUCGCAAGAGCAAAGGAGCAAUUCGCCGAAAGAAGAGCCCGCGGCUGAUUAGCUAGUUGGUAGGGUAAUGGCCUACCAAGGCUUUGAUCGGUAGCCGGCCUGAGAGGGCACACGGCCACA
RNAcentral lists this ribosomal RNA (270 nucleotides) under uncultured bacterium. RNAcentral describes it as "partial 16S ribosomal RNA". It matches the Rfam family "Bacterial small subunit ribosomal RNA", at positions 32 to 312 of the family's 1533-position model. The record is from RNAcentral.